RNAcentral lists this long non-coding RNA (558 nucleotides) under Marmota monax (woodchuck). The record is from RNAcentral. Lineage: Eukaryota; Metazoa; Chordata; Mammalia; Rodentia; Sciuridae.
UUAUAAGUAAGUUCAUUUUCUUAGCCUUCUUUCAUCCUGAAAUUAACAAUUCAUUUUCUCAUUGAUAAAAUAUUUUAAAAAUUCCUUCUAUUCUCUAGGUACUUUUCCAGAAAUGGAUCCAGAACUUUACAUAAGACAUAAUUCAUUUCCUCUUGAAACUUUCAGCUAGCACAAAACAGAAAUACAGUCACUUCUCAUAUUCACAAGUCCAGAAUUGGUGGACUCAACCAAAGAUGGAAGGAGAAUAUUGGUAAAAAUGUUGUGUCUGUACUGAAUAUAUACAGAUUUUUUCCCCCUGGACAUUAUUAACUAAACGAUAUAGUUUAACAAUCAUCUAAAGAUGAUUGAAAGCAUUCAGGAAGAUAAGUGUAAUGUUGUUUGCAUUUUAUAUAAAGGAUCUGGGCUGGGUGAGAUGGCACAUACCUGUAAUCCAAGCAGCUUGGGAGGCUGAGACAGGAGGAUCAGGAGUUCAAAACCAGCCUCAGCAAAAGUGAGGUGCUAAGCAACUCAGUGAAACCUUACCUGUAAAUAAAAUACAAAAUAGGGCUGGGGAUGUGG